GCGACCCCCAGGUCAGGCGGG
RNAcentral lists this ribosomal RNA (21 nucleotides) under Ceroxylon quindiuense. RNAcentral describes it as "partial 26S ribosomal RNA". RNAcentral also lists the same sequence under 2 other names. The record is from RNAcentral. Lineage: Eukaryota; Viridiplantae; Streptophyta; Magnoliopsida; Arecales; Arecaceae.